Molecule: small nucleolar RNA, 139 nt
Organism: Ochotona princeps (American pika)
Lineage: Eukaryota; Metazoa; Chordata; Mammalia; Lagomorpha; Ochotonidae
Gene: SNORA74
Rfam family: Small nucleolar RNA SNORA74
About the family: U19 belongs to the H/ACA class of snoRNAs. snoRNAs bind a number of proteins (including dyskerin, Gar1p and Nop10p in the case of the H/ACA class) to form snoRNP complexes. This class are thought to guide the sites of modification of uridines to pseudouridines by forming direct base pairing interactions with substrate RNAs.
Source: Ensembl
CCCAGCUGUAGCCAGCUGUCUAGGUUGAUUGUACCUAGGCCAGUGCUAAGUUGCUGAGAGAAAAGCAGCUAAUAGCUGGUGGGCAUUCUGGGUCUGGUUAUUGCCAAAUUUGUGUUAACUACACCAGUGUGCCAACACA